GGAUCUUCUUCUAAAAAUGGUCAAGUUUUCCUACGCCCAACAAAUGCGAUCCCUUGUUCCAUAUUGUCAAAAGUCACCCUGGCUGGUUGGAGGCUAUGGAGAAAGAGAUGGAUGCCAUAGCUGAAAAAUCAACUUGGGAGCUUAUUCCCUACUCCAAAGACAUGAACAUCAUACAAUGCAAGUGGGUGUUUCGUGUCAAAAAGAAAGCAGAUGGAACAGUUGAUAACUCUAAAUACCGGCUUUACUAACUUUUGGUUGGUAUCUAAUAUUGUUUGUUUACUUAUCUUGACUUUGUAACUGCUCUUGCAUUUUGAUGGUUCCACAUGCUGCUUGCACCGGUUGGGUUCCGAUGUGACACAACUGCCUUUGUCUAAUAAUGUUAAUGUUUCAUGAACUAAACGUUUAUCUAAAGCUUCUUGUGGGCAGUGGCGCUCAAAAGGUAUGUGUUUAUGUUUGUUGAUUACCUUUUAAUUAUUAACAGUUGCACAUUUGUAUAUAAAGAAUAUUAGUGGUUUAGUGUAGAUUGGAUUAUGUAAAAUUUUGGCAUAUUGCUUGUUUGUAAAUUAAUGUGCCUUU
Molecule: long non-coding RNA, 576 nt
Organism: Salvia miltiorrhiza (redroot sage)
Lineage: Eukaryota; Viridiplantae; Streptophyta; Magnoliopsida; Lamiales; Lamiaceae
Exons: 2
Source: RefSeq, a predicted model, not a curated record